CACGGGGGGAGCAAGCGUUGUUCGGAAUCACUGGGCGUAAAGGGCGUGUAGGCGGUUCGGUAAGUGGAAUGUGAAAUCCCUCGGCUCACCCGAGGACCUGCCAUCCCAAACUGCCGAGCUUGAGUAUGGGAGAGGAUGAGGGAAUUCCUGGUGUAGCGGUGAAAUGCGCGAUAUCAGGAGGAACACCAGUUGCGAAAGGCAGCUCUGGCGU
RNAcentral lists this ribosomal RNA (211 nucleotides) under uncultured bacterium. RNAcentral's name for it is "partial 16S ribosomal RNA". It matches the Rfam family "Bacterial small subunit ribosomal RNA", at positions 524 to 735 of the family's 1533-position model. The record is from RNAcentral.